AUGACCUCAAAGUACUGAGAGGAGUGGUGUGGGAGGGGAAACAGAAAAUGAAAUGAGAUAGAUCCUAAAAAAAUGCCCUGAAGGUGUCUGCUUGUUAAAAACAGAACACAUCCCCAGAUCCUGUUUUUAGGUGUGGACUUCAGCACCCAGUCUGUGAGCAACAUUGAUGAACAGAUUUCCAAAGACUGUUCCAAGGUUUAUGUGAUUCCUUUAAUUAUGGCUUGAAGUAGAGGCAAAUGCAUUCCAAGAAACCAACAAUUACCUGCAACAUGUUAUUACAGUGAGACUUAUGGAGAUCUGCAGCUUUUGUGAAACUCCAUGAGACAUAACAGGAGAAAAAACUGGUGAACCCAACAAGGUUGCAAUACAGAAGUCUCAAAAUACUAGAGUCGUCUUCCAGU
This is a long non-coding RNA of Neopelma chrysocephalum (saffron-crested tyrant-manakin), 401 nucleotides long. RefSeq lists it as uncharacterized. NCBI's taxonomy places the organism in Eukaryota, Metazoa, Chordata, Aves, Passeriformes, Pipridae. The record is from RefSeq and is a predicted model, not a curated record. The transcript has 3 exons.